RNAcentral lists this ribosomal RNA (1566 nucleotides) under Triticum aestivum (bread wheat). RNAcentral's name for it is "partial small subunit ribosomal RNA". The record is from RNAcentral. Lineage: Eukaryota; Viridiplantae; Streptophyta; Magnoliopsida; Poales; Poaceae.
AUGGCGCCGUCCUACGACAAGACCAUCGCCACGGCGGCCUCCCUCGCGGCGUCCCUCAUGCUCGUCCGCAGCCUCGCGAGCGAGCUGCUGCCGGCCGAGGUGCGCGGGGCCCUCUCCGCGGCGAUCGCCGGCCUCCGCUCGCGCAUGACAUGGCAGCACACCAUCGUCAUCGAGGAGACCGAGGGCUGGUCCAGCAACCGCGUCUACAACGCCGUCAAGGCCUACCUGGCCACGCGCAUCAACGCCAAUAUCAACAUGCAGCGCCUGCGCGUCAGCAGCGCCGGCGAACCUGAGAAGAUGGUCGUCAGCAUGGAGGCGGGCGAGGAGAUGACAGAUGUGUAUCAAGGAGCGGAGUUCAAGUGGUGCCUGGUCACCCGCGAGGUCAGUGGCGACCCGAACAACGGCGGUGUCGGUGCCCGGGAGAUCAGGUCCUACGAGGUGAGCUUCAACAAGAGGCACAAGGAGAAGGCCCUGAAAGAGUAUCUCCCAUUCAUCGUCACCACGGCUAAGGCCAUCAAGGACCAGGAGAGGAGCCUCAGCAUCUACAUGAACGAACGCUACGACGAGUGGUCCCCAAUUGACCUCCAACAUCCCUCCACGUUUGACACGCUAGCCAUGGACCAGAAGCAGAAGCAGUCAAUUGUCGACGACCUCGACAGGUUCAUCAAGAGGAAAGAGUACUACAGGAAGAUCGGCAAGGCGUGGAAGCGCGGGUACCUGUUGUACGGCCCGCCGGGCACCGGCAAGUCCAGCCUCAUCGCCGCCAUUGCCAACCACCUCAGGUUUGACAUUUACGACCUCGAGCUGACCGGGGUCAAUUCCAACUCGGACCUCAGGAGGCUUCUCGUCGGGAUGACCAACCGGUCCAUUCUCGUUGUUGAGGACAUCGACUGCACCAUUGAACUGGAGCAGCGGGAGGAAGAUGACGAGGAGGAUUCCAAAUCCAAUUCUACAGAAAAGAAGGCACAAGACAAGGUCACAUUGUCUGGGCUGCUCAAUUUUGUAGAUGGCUUGUGGUCGACAAGUGGGGAGGAAAGGAUCCUCAUCUUCACGACCAAUUACAAGGAGCGUCUCGACCCAGCACUUCUGCGGCCUGGCAGGAUGGACAUGCACAUCCACAUGGGGUACUGCACCACAGAGGCCUUACAGAUCCUUGCCAAUAACUACCAUUCCAUUGACUACCAUGUCACCUAUCCUGAGAUUGAGGCGUUGAUCGAGGAGGUCACGGUGACGCCUGCAGAGGUCGCCGAGGUUCUGAUGAGGAGCGAUGACACUGAUGUUGCCCUCCAUGAUCUUGUCGAGCUCCUGAAAUUGAAGAAGAAAGAUGCCAUUGAGAUCAAGACUGGAAGUAAGCAGGCGGAGGAGAAUAAAGACGCCAAUGAGAUCAAGACCGGAAGUAAGCAGGCAGAGGAGAAAGACACCAAUGAGAUCAAGACAGAAAAUAUGGAAGUGGACGGGAAGAAAUAUGGCAAUGAGAUCAAGACUGAAAGUGUGCAGGUAGAGGAGAAGAAAGAUGACAAAGAAGCGGUGGUGAAGAAUGAGCUCACAGAAAACGGAAGCGGCUAG